CUAGGCUUGACAUGCAGAAGACGUUAUCAGAGAUGAUAAUUCCCUUCGGGGCUUCUGCACAGGUGCUGCAUGGCUGUCGUCAGCUCGUGCCGUGAGGUGUUGGGUUAAGUCCCGCAACGAGCGCAACCCUUAUCGUUAGUUGCCAACAGUUUCGGCUGGGUACUCUAACGAGACUGCCUGGGUUAACCAGGAGGAAGGCGAGGAUGACGUCAAGUCCGCAUGGCCCUUAUGUCUAGGGCUACACACGUGCUACAAUGGUCGGUACAAAAGGCAGCAAAGCCGCGAGGUAGAGCAAAUCCUAUAAAGCCGAUCCCAGUUCAGAUUGUAGUCUGCAACUCGACUACAUGAAGUUGGAAUUGCUAGUAAUGGCGAGUCAGCAACAUCGCCGUGAAUACGUUCC
RNAcentral lists this ribosomal RNA (400 nucleotides) under uncultured bacterium. RNAcentral's name for it is "bacterial SSU rRNA". It matches the Rfam family "Bacterial small subunit ribosomal RNA", at positions 975 to 1374 of the family's 1533-position model. The record is from RNAcentral.